Pongo abelii (Sumatran orangutan) is the source of this 117-nucleotide unclassified non-coding RNA. It matches the Rfam family "Metazoan signal recognition particle RNA". Rfam says of the family: The signal recognition particle (SRP) is a universally conserved ribonucleoprotein. It is involved in the co-translational targeting of proteins to membranes. Lineage: Eukaryota; Metazoa; Chordata; Mammalia; Primates; Hominidae. The record is from Ensembl.
GCCGGGCGUGGUGGCUCACACCUGUAAUCCUAGCACUUUGGGAGGCUGAGGUGGGUGGAUCACCUGAGGUCAGGAGUUCAAGAUCAGCCUGGCCAAUAUGGUGAAACCCCAUCUCUG